UGAAGAUUAUAUCAUCAUCCUGCCUGAGUGCUUUGAUACCAGCCGCCCCCUGGGGGACUCCAUGUACAGCUCUGCGCUCUCCCAGCCAGGCCUGGAGCGAGGGGCUGAAGGUGAACCUGGGAUCGAGUCUGGGCAGGAACCAGCUGAGGCUAGAGAGAGACUCCCGGAAAGGGAGAGCCAGCCAAAGGAGCAGAGCAUCAGUGACAUCCUCACGACCUCACAGCAUCUGGACACAGUGCCUCUAGUCCCAGAAGUGGCAGGACUUCCAGCAGCACUGUCCAGGUACUGCUCAGCACCUCAGCCACCCUGUUCUCCAGAGCUGGAAUGACCAGCUUUACCUCAAACCUUUCUUUUUCUACAACCUAAACUUAGAUGAAUAAAAGUCAUAUUCAG
Molecule: long non-coding RNA, 393 nt
Filed under: Rattus norvegicus (Norway rat)
Lineage: Eukaryota; Metazoa; Chordata; Mammalia; Rodentia; Muridae
Description: long non-coding RNA NONRATT004918
Source: RNAcentral